UACAGAGGGUGCAAGCGUUUAAUCGGAAUUACUGGGCGUAAAGCGUGCGUAGACGGUUACAUAAGUCGGGUGUGAAAGCCCCGGGCUCAACCUGGGAAUUGCAUUCGAGACUGCGUAGCUAGGGUGCGGAAGAGGGAAGCGGAAUUUCCGGUGUAGCGGUGAAAUGCGUAGAUAUCGGAAGGAACACCAGUGGCGAAAGCGGCUUCCUGGUCCAGCACCGACGUUCAGGCACGAAAGCGUGGGGAGCAAACAGGG
RNAcentral lists this ribosomal RNA (255 nucleotides) under uncultured bacterium. Its description in RNAcentral is "partial 16S ribosomal RNA". It matches the Rfam family "Bacterial small subunit ribosomal RNA", at positions 524 to 777 of the family's 1533-position model. The record is from RNAcentral.